AUGUGUCCGAUGAGACCAAUGAUCGAACCGUCUAUAUAUGCGUGCUCCGUUCCACUCGCAUUCUCAUAUGACCUUCUCCAUUCUCGAACUGCAAAGCGAGGAGGCACAGCUCCGGUUAUAGUCAUGGCCGCCACGGAUGCCGUGGCGUGCCACCCUUCAAGGAGCGCCGGCGUGGCCAGGUGCUUUCCUCGGAGCACUGGCUUUCGGUCGGAGUGGCCGAGCAGCUGCGCCUGCGCGGUGCUCACCAUCAAAGGCGGCCUCGCUUCUCUUCCACUCUACCAACAGCCACGUCUCCCCCGCGACCAUGGCGUGGCCGUUGGUAGAGUAGGAGACGAGCAUGGCCACCUGUUCCCCGCCCUGAUGCCCAGCAAUCAAGGCGUGCCAGCGUACAGCCAGAAGGUCUACCCGGGCUGCCAAGCUCCACGCCGUGCUCUGCAUGGAGAAGCUUGUCCUGUGGUACAAUCCACAGGAACUACGACACGGUCGCCCUGUCUUAGUUUAUCUAUUGGGUAG
This 513-nucleotide ribosomal RNA is filed under the name Triticum aestivum (bread wheat). RNAcentral describes it as "partial small subunit ribosomal RNA". The stretch from base 256 to 342 matches the Rfam family "MIR9677 microRNA precursor family". The record is from RNAcentral. Lineage: Eukaryota; Viridiplantae; Streptophyta; Magnoliopsida; Poales; Poaceae.